This 605-nucleotide ribosomal RNA is filed under the name uncultured archaeon. RNAcentral describes it as "bacterial SSU rRNA". It matches the Rfam family "Archaeal small subunit ribosomal RNA", at positions 9 to 620 of the family's 1478-position model. The record is from RNAcentral.
UGAUCCUGCCGGACCUGACUGCUAUCGGAUUGAUACUAAGCCAUGCGCGUCAUUGUAGUAAUACAAGGCAGACGGCUCAGUAACGCGUAGUCAACCUAACCUAUGGACGGGGAUAACCUCGGGAAACUGAGAAUAAUACCCGAUAGAACAUUAUGCCUGGAAUGGUUUAUGUUUCAAAUAAUCUAUUGCCGUAGGAUGGGACUGCGGCCUAUCAGUUUGUUGGUGAGGUAAUGGCCCACCAAGACUAUUACAGGUACGGGCUCUGAGAGGAGUAGCCCGGAGAUGGGUACUGAGACACGGACCCAGGCCCUAUGGGGCGCAGCAGGCGAGAAAACUUUGCAAUGUGCGAAAGCACGACAAGGUUAAUCCGAGUGGUUUCUGCUAAAGGAACCUUUUGCCAGUCCUAGAAACACUGGUGAAUAAGGGGUGGGCAAGUUCUGGUGUCAGCCGCCGCGGUAAAACCAGCACCUCAAGUGGUCAGGAUGAUUAUUGGGCCUAAAGCAUCCGUAGCCUGCUUUGUCAGUUUUCGGUUAAAUCCAUUCGCUCAACGAAUGGGCUGCCGGGAAUACUGCAAAGCUAGGGAGUGGGAGAGGUAGACGGUACUC